This 346-nucleotide ribosomal RNA is filed under the name uncultured bacterium. RNAcentral describes it as "bacterial SSU rRNA". It matches the Rfam family "Bacterial small subunit ribosomal RNA", at positions 451 to 793 of the family's 1533-position model. The record is from RNAcentral.
AGUUAACACCUGCAUUAUUUGACGUUACCUACAGAAGAAGCACCGGCUAACUCCGUGCCAGCAGCCGCGGUAAUACGGAGGGUGCGAGCGUUAAUCGGAAUUACUGGGCGUAAAGCGCAUGCAGGCGGCCUGUUAAGUCAGAUGUGAAAGACCCGGGGCGUUAACCUCGGAAUUGCAUUUGAAACUGGCAGGCUAGAGUCUUGUAGAGGGGGGUAGGAAUUUCAGGUGUAGCGGUGAAAUGCGUAGAGAUCUGAAGGAAUACCAGUGGCGAAGGCGGCCCCCUGGACAAAGACUGACGCUCAGAUGCGAAAGCGUGGGGAGCAAACAGGAUUAGAUACCCUGGUAG